CACUUUAAAAUAUGAAGUAAAGGUCUUAUUUGGAGUAAAAUAAGGUAGUUGAUAAAUAACAAGAGCUGAUGGUCAUAUGAGGAUAACCAACACUUACUUUUCUUUUGAAAACUGUUCAACUCUAUCAUGGAGAGUACAACAAUGUCCUGGACACCUUUUGCUAUAACUAACUACUAAACUCGUGGCGAAGAAACUUAAUUCACCGCACAGGAAUUCUACGGCAUAUGUGAAAUAAAUGAUUUAACACACAAGGAUUGAAAGUCAUUUAUUCAGUAACAAAUUUCACACUUGAAGCGAUUAAAUUCUCCGAGAAUCUCUUUGAAAGCGAGCAAAUCCUUAAAUUUAUACAGAACUCGACAGCUCGUGGGAGAAACCGUUUUCCUCCAAAUUUAAGUGAAUGAUGUUUGAAAUAAGAAAUAACGUCGUUUCCAAACUAAAUGGAGUAGGGUAUGUCUUAACACGAUGAAUUACUAUAAAUGCGGCUUCAGAAGCCCGCCUCCUUUAUAUCCCCGAUUUGUUUUAGUGUUUUCUCUAAGAGUGCCGAAUGUCGAUUUUUCCGUGAACAAAAAAAUACGUGAUGCAGAAUAAAACUCUAAAACCGGAUGUCGCUGGAAGAUAACAUGGAAACAAUUUGGCACUACAUUAAUUAUGUACAAAUACGUAAAGUAGUAAAAUAGAAAAUUUCAAAUGAA
Molecule: long non-coding RNA, 692 nt
Organism: Photinus pyralis (common eastern firefly)
Lineage: Eukaryota; Metazoa; Arthropoda; Insecta; Coleoptera; Lampyridae
Exons: 2
Source: RefSeq, a predicted model, not a curated record